RNA transcript from Homo sapiens (human), 852 nucleotides. It is a transcript of the gene named fumarylacetoacetate hydrolase domain containing 2C, pseudogene, with no coding region annotated. The transcript is spliced from 4 exons. Lineage: Eukaryota; Metazoa; Chordata; Mammalia; Primates; Hominidae. The record is from RefSeq and is marked validated.
ACCGGACGCGCCCGCUUCUCGCUGGAGUGCGCACCGAGCGGCAGUGACUUCGCCGCUGCUGUAGUUCCCCGGCUGGAUGCGGUGACUGGUGCCAGUGCUCAGGCGCCCGCUGCCCUUGACCUCCCGCCCCGCGAGCCCUAACUCAGCGCAGGAGGACCGGCUGCCGCCGCCGCCGCCGCCAGAUCCACACAACUUAAAGAUCUGCUGUCGAGUGAAUGGGGAAGUGGUCCAGAGCAGCAACACCAACCAGAUGGUAUUCAAGACAGAGGACCUGAUAGCCUGGGUGUCCCAGUUUGUUACCUUUUACCCAGGGGAUGUCAUCCUGACUGGGACCCCCCCACCUCCACCCAGGUGUCGGUGUAUUCAGGAAACCUCCUGUCUUUCUCAAGGUCUCUGAAGGUCCAGACAGCACUGAUGGCGAGCUUUGGGUCCGCACACUCUGGAAAGAAGAGAGAAGUGAAGGCUCUAGGUAGGGAGAACAGAGAGCCACUGGGCACAGGCUUCUCUCCUCUUGUUUAAAGAAGCCCAGGGAGGGAUAGAGCUCUGACUGGACAGAAGACUGUACUCUGCAGCCUGCCUUCCUAGAGUUGGGUUGUCACUGUCCUGCAGGGGGCAGCAGCCACCAGCAAACACCACUGCCUGCAGGAGCCUGGGCUGACUGGUUGGGACUCACCGAAGAUCCCUUCUUCCUGGGCGGUGGCCUGCAGGAACUGGAACAGCUGCUCUGUGUAGCCCAACUCUGCAGAAGAGAGAAGACCUAGACCUGGCACCCAGCACAGACACAGCCUGCCUCGAGGACUGCAAGGGAACAAGGGCCUCACCAGUAUCGGGCAGCUGGCCCUGGCGGAGGAA